This 7266-nucleotide long non-coding RNA is filed under the name Mytilus galloprovincialis (Mediterranean mussel). Lineage: Eukaryota; Metazoa; Mollusca; Bivalvia; Mytilida; Mytilidae. The record is from RNAcentral.
UUCUAUCAUAUGUAAAUGAUGUUGUUGCAUCACUAUGACAAAGUUUAACGAUGUGCGGGAUAACUUUGAAUGUAUGGAUUUUAUUAGAGCAAGCACUUGACAUUAUAACAGAGUAGCAGCUUUUUAAAAAUAGUAGAAGGUAAGUUUCUUUAAGUAAAGACUGAAUUUAAUUUUUAAUUUCUUGAUUCAGAUCAAUUUUCGGUAUCGGAAUUGAACAACUGUUAAAAUAAAUUAAAGUUUCAAUGAAUAUAUGAUUCUAGUAUCUUUUAAUUGGUCUGUGUUAUGGGUGAAUGCGCCUGUACUUCUAAGGUACCUGCUAUCAGUAUGAUAAAGUUAAAAACGAAUGGUUUGCUGCAUAGUUUUGGUUCUAUAAAUGUAGCGAGUCAUACAUUCGUUAGAACACACAUCACUUAUUAUAAUGUUUAAAUUAAUAAAGGAUAUUAAACGAGGAUAAAUGAUGUGAAGAGUUUUUUACUAUUUUCUUCAAUAUACCGAUCAGAAACAUAACUGAAAUAGAAAGAUACAGUUCAACCUUGACUGUCAGUAUGGUUGUUAAAGGGUGUGUCCUCGAUACCGGCGAAGCCUGUACAUUUUGUUUUCUUCAAUAGGUUCAAAUGAACAUCUCCUUUCUACAUUCAAAGACUCACAUGGUUUCCAAUGACAUUUCAUAUCAAGUUUUCCCUGUAGGAGGAUUUCCCCUCAACCCCACCCCGUUUUGCACCGCACUAUCAACUAUCAUUGAUGAACACCUUGUUCUUUAUUCUAUUAAAACAUAUUUGGUAACCAUAUUUAACAUACAUUUCCGACACUGUCUCUAUUCUUAUAUCGUCCUGUAUAAGUAUGAAAUAUUUGCCACUGAAUUUUAGGCAACUAAUAAUCAAUCAAUAUAUUCGUUAGAGAUGAUUAGGCUUAUUUAAAACAAACGAAAACGACGUAAAAAACUGAAAUCUUAAAAAAAACACUACAAAGGAGAGUAUAAAGAUUGAUGAUUUUUGAAAAUUCUAAGUUAUUAUCCAAAAGAUAUUUAUUAUUUCUAAUCUGUGAUAUUCCAAUGCCCGAAUCAAGUCAGGAAUAUGAAAGUUGAAUUCCAUUUGUUUGAUGUUUUUGAGCUUUUGAAUUUGUCAUUUUUUCAAUGACUUUCAGUUUUUAAUUCUCAUUGGAGUUCAUUACGUUGUUAUAUUUUGCAGACAGUUAUUGCUUGCGGAGUCAAAUAUUUGUAUCAAGUUUUUAUGUUAUCUUUUAACUAUUGUACUCACAUUAUUUUUUCAUGAAUUUCCUCAUAUUUACAUAUUAUAAUUUGUGAUGACUUUAGUCGGUUCCUUAUUUUUAUUAUAAAUGAUAACAAACAAAAUAUGUUUAAUAAAGAUUUAUAGAGGGAUCAAACUAUCGUCUACUAAAAUGGGCAAUUCACAUCGAUCUGUUUACGGACAUACUAUAAUAAUUAUUAAACUAAGUUUAGAAAUUGUGUUUUUUUUUUUUCAAAUAAUUCUCCUUCGAAUGAAAAUCUUAUGAAUACGAUAAAAUCUUAUGAUUACGAUUAAAAUUAUGUUUGUUUAUGAUUAUGUUGUUCGAUCAUAGUGACCAUUGUGUUACAAACACCAACCUUGGAUCGGGACACUCUACAAUCUAGAAGAGCAAAAGUAUAAAACAAAUUACUAUACAAAAAUGUCAACCAUCUCGUAGACAUUGAAGCAGAACCAUACAUUAUACUAAUUGGUGUUUCACUUGAGGACAUAACAUCAGAUACCGCCAACCACACUGUCACACCCUAGUUUACUAACAUUCCUUCUUCCCGAGUGCCGUCAGAAUUUGGAACUACCUGCCACAGCCACUGCCCUCGAUGGGUUUAAACAGGCUCUGUUAACCUCCAUCAACCCCUGAGUUGUAGUUAUUUGAUUUUAACUGUAAAUAUGCAUCUUUUAAAUCAGGUUUAAUCCACCAUUUUCUACAUAAGAAAAUGCCUGUACUAAGUCAGGAAUAUGUACUGCCAUGGUACGUAUGCGUUAGUGUAAAUAUACUCAAAAUGAGUCCUACACUUAAAUAGACAGAAGAUUGUUAAUGCGUCCCAGGUAUUUGAGAAUUUAUACUGCACUCGUUCUGUUUGAGCAGUCAAAUUGCGUUGACCGUAUAUUUCUAUGUCAUAUACAGUCAUUGACAUGAUAUCACUUUUCCUCAUGAAUGUCUAAAUAGAAAUUGCCGAGAUUAUAAUUAAUUAUUCAUACGACCUAUUCAACCUGUUCUUGUUUUCAAUGUAUAAAACGACUCAAACUUAUUUCUUUAACAAUUUUUAUAAAAAAAAAAAAAAACAUAUUUCACUUCUUAAAUUUGUUUGGUCUGCAUAUUUAUUUCAUUAUAUAUUUUAUGCUUAUUUUUGAUAUUUUAGUUCAUUCUUAAACAAAUUCGUUCACCAUCGAUUGCGAAUUUCAACAGGUAAAUGUACAUUUCAUCGUGUUGUAUAUUUCUCCGCCUGCCAUGAUAUGAGCCCCUUUUAUAAAAGGGGAAGUUCCCAAUAUUUAAAUCAAUGAUGACAUUAACACAUUAAACAACAAUUGAAAAUGUUUUUUUAGAUUGCAGUAUAAAGACAAUAAUAGUGCAUUGACUUGACAUAUCAAUGAUAUAAGGAUUCGCCCCAAAACGGGGGAAAAACUCGGGAGAGCCUCGCAUUUCCCGGGUUUCUAAGCGUUGAUAUGUCAAGUCAAUGCACUAUUAUUGUCUAUAUAUACAUCAAUUCACUUAUUUAUAGUUUAAAUCAAUACUGUUUUCAUUGUUUUUCUGCAUUUUUAGUAAUGUGCAAUUUGUUCAAUGUAAUCAUGGUAAUGCACAAAAGCUGUACUAUGUUGUUUGCAAUGUAGUUGUAUAAGAUUGUCUUCGAAGUACCACAACUGAUAUUAGAAUUUAGAGCGGCACGGUUUAUAUCAGGUCAAUAAAAAGGAAAAUGGGAAAAGGCCAAAGAGACAACAGCCAGACUAAAGAGCAGAAAACAGCCAGUCAGUGAACGGAUCUUAAACGCAGCGAAAAAUUCCGAACCCGUAGGUGGGCUUCAGCUGGCCCUUACACGAUAUUGUAUACUAAUUUCUCGAAAUGGAAGCCAUACGUAACUCUGAAACACACAGUUUAAAAACAUUCUAUUGUCAAAACAAUGACAAUAUGAUCAGGCACAAGUUCGUCAAGUAAGAAACACUAUGAAACAUACCAAUGAACCAAGAGUAUAGCAACACACAAGACUAUCAAAGACUAAAUGUUUCAGAAUUGGAACCGGUGUAAAAAUACGGCGGAGUUAAACAUGUUUUGUGAGAUCUCAACCCUCCCCUAUACCUCUAGCCAAUAUGGAGUAUAUAAGCACACAGCAAUAAGCACUGUAAAACUCAAUUUAAAAGUAGUCCGAGUCCGAAAUGAGAAUAUAUUUUAUGCUAGAAUUCGAUAAGUAAUUUUAUCUGGCUGUCAACAGCGAACAUUCUUCAUUAGAGUAAUAUAUAUUAAACAUGUGUAUUCUUACAGUCUAAUCUUCCGUUACUUUGAUUUUAAAUGUUAUAGUUUCUUAAAGCAUGACACACAUGUUAAUGUCGAUGCGGAGAUUUUCUGGUCUUUUUUUAUACUACAAUAUACCUGACGACGCAAUAGAAAAUAUAAUUAUAAUUCAAUAUUUACUUUCAAUGCUUACUGUUGAGUUUAUAUCAAUACACAUUCUUACUUUAAUGGAUUUAUAAUAAAACGACUGAGAAUGUUUUUAAAUAAUUUUAUCAAGCGUUACUAGUCAGGCAUAAAGAAUUUUUUAGGUUUCCGUUAACAUAUUGAUGAAUGCAGUCGUUGAAUUAGUUUUAGAAAAUGGACCAUAGUUGUAAACAUUAUCAAAACUUCGUUCACAAGAAAUAAUAGAAUUUGCAUGACAACAGUUACGCAACACCAGUCAGAAACACUUAUCAAUGACGUUCACAAUUCAUAAUUGUAUUGAGGGAGCAGUCUUUUACGUUUUAUUCAUCGGAAUUCUGUUUACAAAAUGUAAUAAUGGGUUGCUAAUUAUUAUAAUAUUACCAAUGCAGAUUUGCACUAGAUUUUGGAUAUGUAGUCAAAACAAGAGGCUCUCAAGAGCCUGAGUCGCUCACCUGUUAUUUUUGUUUUUGCUUCAAUCGUUCAUCAAUGAUUAUUUUUGUUUUACAAUAUAUAUUAAUGAGUGGCUUAAAAUGCCAUUUAAAUGUUCAUUGUAUGUGUCAUAUUCUCUUCAAAAGCAAAUAAAUACAAUUUACCCAAACUAGUAUGUUCCUUUUUAGUCAUAGUGUCUAUGACGUACAAGGAAAUAAAAUACAAAAUGUAUACUAGCUUGAUUUAUUUGAGAAGAUAUUUAAAGUUCAAAAACAUAAACAACUUGUGUAAUAUUGUCCGUAAAGGGCAAUAAUAGUUAUCAAAGGUACCAGGAUUUUAUUUUAAUACGCCAGACGCGCGUUUCGUCUACGUAUACAUAAUACUCGUCAGUGACGCUCAGAUCAAAACAAUCACUCACUUGACAAUUUUGGUCAUAUAAAACCUUUUUGUAGAUCUUACUUUGCUGAACAUUUUUUUCUGUUUACAUGCAGUUUAUCUUAUCUUCAAUAAUAUUCAAGAUGAAAACCAAAAACUGCAAAUUUCCCUUUAAAUAACUUUAACUUUUUGUCUGACAAUUUUGAGGCUGAGAGAUCCUGACCUUUUGAACAUUUAUACCCCAUGUCAGAUUCGCUCUAAAGGUUUUAUUUUCUGAGACAUGAGCCAAAAACUGCAUUUGACCCCUAUGUUCUAUGUUUAGCCGUUACCGUGAUUACGGCCAUGUUUGUUGAUGGAUCAAAAAUUAGGAUACAAUUCAUAAACUAAAUUCCUAAAGGAACAUUCGUUCAAAGUUAAGAAGUAUUAGGCACAAUAGUUUCAGAGGAGAAGAUGUUUAAAUGUUAGCAAAUUUUUAACAAAUUGUAUAAAAUUGUCUUAAAAAGAGCAAUAACUCCUUAAGGGGUCAAUUGACAAUUUUGGUCAUAUUUAACUUUUUUGAAUAUCUUACUUUGCUGGACACUAUUGCUGUUUACAGUUUAUAUCUAUCUAUAAUAAAUAUUCAAGAUAAUAACAAAAAUUAAACUGAAAUUUCAUUAAAACUACCAAUUUAGUGGCAGCAACCUAAUAAUGUGAGAUUUCCUCUAAAAGCUUUAGUUUUUGAGAUGUAAGCCAAAGACUGCAUUCGAUCCCUAUGUUCUAUUUUUAGCCAUGGCGGCCAUUUUUGUCAAUAGAUCAAAACUUCGGAUACAAUUUAUAAACUAGAUACCCUAAGGAUCAUUUAGUUAAAAUAGUUUUCAAAGGUACCAAAAUUAUAAUUUAGUACGCCAGACGCGCGUUUCGUCUACAUAAGACUCAUCAGUGACGCUCAUAUCAAAAUAUUUAUAAAACCAAACAAGUACAAAGUUGAAGAGCAUUGAGGAUCCAAAAUUCCAAAAAGUUGUGCCAAAUACGGCUAUGGUAAUCUAUGCCUGGGAUAAGAAAAUCCUUAGUUUUUCGAAAAAUUUAAAGUUUUGUAAACAGGAAAGGAGUAGGUCCGGUAAGGACCGAUUUUGGCCUCAAAUUUCAGGUUCAUCUGACGAAAGAUUUUGACCACUUUUUGGACACUAAGUGUCUAUCUAUUUGAAUUAAUUAGUUUAUUGAAAGAUUUUAACAGAUUAGUCAUUAAAAACGAUCCGAUUCAAGCUCAAAUAUGAAAAUCUACCUUAAUAUGCCGAAAAAUGUCACUUUUCAGAUGGUUUUUGGUAAAAAUGAAAGUGGCCGCAUCCGUGUUCAUCCUCAACCUUUAUAUAUGUUAUGUAUUAUCAUAAAAUACAACUUACAUUUCAAUAUUAAGGAUGAACACGAAUGCGGCCACUUUCGUUUUACACGAAAACCGUCUAAAAUUAUGGGGAUUUCAGUAAUUUAGCAUGACUUAAUGGUGCUAGUACCGGAUAUAUGUGCAUUGUAUUGUCAAAAACAGUCCAUAUUUAUGUAGCAGAAGCAUUCUACUGUCCAAUAAAUAACUAAAGGUUUAAAUUUUAACAAUUUUGUAAAACUGCUAUAUUUUGGGGCCAAAAAGGGGUCUUACUGAACCUACUCCUUUAUAAAAAUGACCCCAUUAUUGAUAUUCAUGUCAACACCGAAGUGUUGACUUCUGGGCUAGUUAGGACGUAUUUGGCCCAGUAGUUUCAGAGGUAAAGAAUUUUUAAAUAGUUUACGACGACAGACGACGGACGACGACGGACGCCAAGUGAUGGCAUAAGAUCACAUGGUGUCCUACGCGUCCCGCUCAGCUAAAAUGAAGUUUAAGUCCUGCAAGAUAUGAUUGUGCUUGUCAAGAACCAUAUAGAUGAUUAUCAGAAAUCAGGCCGUUUUCUCUUUUAAAUCGAUGAUGGAACCUUUUAUAGCUUACUCUACGGUAUAGUGUUUGCAAAUUGUUAAAGGUCUUACAGUAUGCUAUAUGUGUAUACAUCCUUGUCAUUUGGUCUGUUAUGGACCUUUUACAGCGGUAUGGUGUAUGCUUAUUGUUGAAGGUCUUACAGUGUGCUAUAUGUGUUUACAUCGUUGUCGUUUGCCCAAUUAUGGACCUUUUAUAGCGGUAUGGUGUAUGCUUAUUGUUGAAGGUCUUACAGUGUGUUUACGUCCUUGUCGUUUGGUCUGUUGUGUCAUUGUCUUAUUGGCAGUCUACUUGACAUUACAUUAUGUCAAAUCAAAAUGUUUUUGUUUUGUUUUAUUUGGGGUUUUUUUUUUUCUUAUCAGUAAUAUUAUUAUUUUGAGAAUUUGGUGUUGAUAUCAGAUGGAUUGUAAUUCCCGCAAACGAUCAAAUGGUAUCGUUUUAUAGAAAUAAAGGGCAGACAAAUAAACAAUAUUGCUCAUUUCUGUUGUAGAUGGGAAACGUAUGCAGUGGAAAAGGAGGUGGUAUGGGGCAAAUAAAUAAAUUUUGUAAAUGUGCUGGCGACCGACCUCACUCUGGACAUUCUAGGAAGGGAAGUGGUAAAGGCCGCAAAGGAUCUCCCCCUGCCCAUGGAAGACGUAGGAAGGGCUCACACAGCAGUUAAUAUGCAAAACAUGUUUAUAUGUGUGGAUUUAUGCAAUUGAUUUAUGUAUAUACACAUCAAUUUCUAUGUUAAAUUUGUACAUUUUAAAAUAUUUGACCAUAUAUCGACAAGUGAUAAAUUUUCACGAGAGUAUGAUUUCAAGUUUAUAUAUAUAUAUAUAUAUAUAUAUUUUUAUAAGAUGGACAAUUUCUCUAAUGAAUAUAAUGCUUUGAAG